CCUUCCUUCCGGCGGCCCUGGUGGCCGGCAGGAGGAUGGUGUAGGUGGUCGUGCUCUUCUUGUACAUAUUAGGUCUAGGUUUAGUUCAUGUCUUCGGCUAUAUGCUAGUCUUUGGCUACAUGCCGGUCAUCGGCUCUAUGUCGGGAGGGAGAUGCCAGGUCUAGGGGCCCGGAUCUGGUAUUGCUUUGUCUCUCUGCUCCUUGUUGCGGCGCUCCCAUGGACGGAGCCAGAGGUGAUGAGGAGGAGAGCACCUGAAACCUCCAAUAAUAAAAAGGUUGUUGUGGUGGAGCUUGGGUUCUGGGUGCCUCUCCGCGAUCUCGUCGUCGCGGUGGCGGAAGAUGGAGAGGGGUGGUCGAAUAUGAGUUGGAGAUCACCACAUGACAGCCACGAUCUGCCGCCAUGACCUUUGGCUGAGAAGGCGGCCUUUCCAGACGCCUUUGAGAGCGUCAUCUCAACCUCCUCCAAGACGGAGGCCCUCUGUGGGAUUCCCAGCGGCGCGCAGCGGCCUUCCUCUCCCAUGUGGUUUCGUCCCCGGCGAGAAGGAGGACGGUCGGCGGUGGAGUCCCUGUUGUUGUGGUGGAGAAGGACUUGAUUGCUUUUCGAUGUUACUUUUUAGGGUCCUUUGUGUUAAUUUCCAGGACUGUUGUGUAACUUCUAGUUCUUUCGGGAUCCUGUUUGUGUAUUGUACUCCACCGACGAUGAACGAAAGACAGCACUAGGCCCUUCUGGGCCUUUCCCCUGUUCAAAAAAAAAGAUUCGGCUAUUGUAUCGGCUGGGCUUUGUUUACACUGGCACGUGGGGUUGUGCGACCCUGCGUACGAUCCUUUUCUUUUUGGCGAGUAGUAGGCGCCGGUAGAUCGGCCAAUAUCUUUUAAAACUCUAAGCUCCCUUGACGGGGAGGCUCCUAGUUGAGCGAGGGGUGUGGCCUGCAGGGUGGAUUUUCUUUGUAAGUGUAUUCGCUGGCUCGCUGGUCUCGCUUUGUCGGUUGGCUUGUAUAUAUUCGUGGCGCUUGUGUACGCGCCCGCGUGUAGGUGGCGUUUUUCCUUUUACUGCUACGAGGGUCGUCGUCCUUCCUUUUAUCCUUUGGACUUGGCGGCGGUGGUGUGUUUGGUGAGCGGGGUGUUUGGUGGUCUUCGGCUCCGUGUUCGGUGCCUGCCUCUUUGGAGGGAGGGGGUCAGAUGCCUGCCUCUUCGCCAGGGGUGGGCGGCGGGUCUGCUGUUGCCGGUUUCUUCUUCCUCUGCAUCAAUUUCUUGCGAGGGAUGUUCUGGGGUGCGUCUGAUGGUUGGUUUGCGUUUCCGUCGUCCUUCUUCUUCUGUCGGCUUGGUGGUUUGUGAUUUCUGUAGUUCUUUUUUAGCGUUGCUGUUGUACAGGUAAAUGACUCCGGUGCGUGGGGAUACAUGGCGGUCGCUAUGCGCACUGCACAAGGGAUGCUGGUCAGUAUUAGUUUGAUGCCUCUGUUCGUGGUGCAAAGCAGUGUUGUCUUUCUAAAAAGGGCAUGUUUCAUCAGCAGCUUUGCUAAAGACAUAUGUAGACGUUGUUGAUGUGUGCAAGGAGCGUGGCCAGCCCCAGGCAUGUGCGUUGGUUGUUUGGGACCCUGCGUGGAGUGCUAUGCUUGGUGAUGUACAGAAUACAGUCAAGAAAAACUGCAAAAGUGUACAUCUACUGUUGAUUUAUGCAUAUAGCUGAUAUUAUCAGACAUAGGCCUUCUUUAUUAUCAUGAUCUAUGCAUCAUGGCUACGUGCAUCUCUCAUUUAGUUGGUUCCUUUUUGGUAGGUCUCAAUGCGAUUCAAUUCAGUAAAACAAAUGUGCUCUACGACAUUGUUUCCAUGCGACAGAACAACAUUCAAGAGGAUCGGAGCUGGACUGCUGAUAGGUAUUUAUACGAUUCUUCAGAUUAUGUUACCCUUUGAUAUGAUCCUCCAUGGAGCGAAAUUUAUCUCCAUAGGUCACAAAAAGCAGAUUUGAUUGGUUCUAAUGAGGUUGCUGCUAUGAGUGGUCUCUUCAAAGGUAAGUGUUGUGAUUUUGUGGCGGAUGUUUGCAGGACUGAAGGAGGUUUGAUGAAUCGAUUCCUUACAUUAAAAAAUGUUGACUUAUUACUAUCACGCUUUUAAUUGAUCUAUUUUAGCAUAGGAAGGUUCAUCUGUUUUUGCAAGAAAGGUUCAUUGGUUGCUCAUGGUUUUGUAUGGUUGGGCUCGCUCAAGCAAUAGGAAGCACAUUGUCUUGGUAGUGAAUCCCACAGUUGUCAGCAAUGAUUUACAACAGGCUAUCGUCGAACCCAAAAAAGUAGUGUAAGGAUGCCAGGUUGAUGAUUUUCUGCCAUAAAUAGACACUCUUCCCUCUAGACCAUCUCAGGAUUGAAUAAAUGUUCGCUAUGUUUUCUGAGGAAUAAAUGACAUCCCUAUUGCGCUUCUUCUCAUAUGUGUUUCCUUUAUUAUUACAGUAGUCUGUUAGUAUGGAAACGAUUUGUUGUUUGGUUUAUCUUAAUACUCCCUCCGUCCGGAAAUACUCGUCGGAGGAAUGGAUGUAUCUAGAUGUAUUUUAGUUCUAGAUACAUUCAUUUUUAUGCAUUUUUCCGACAAGUAUUUCUGGACGGAGGGAGUAUAAGAGAACGUGGUUGCCAAUUCUUUUAAAGAAUGGACAAUCGUGGUGCGCUUAUGAGUUGCGAUAUAUGGUAAAAUGUGUAUCCUCUGUAACAAAGUAUUAUGUGUAGUUUGCCCUUUU
This is a long non-coding RNA of Triticum aestivum (bread wheat), 2721 nucleotides long. RefSeq lists it as uncharacterized. The record is from RefSeq and is a predicted model, not a curated record. Lineage: Eukaryota; Viridiplantae; Streptophyta; Magnoliopsida; Poales; Poaceae. The transcript has 3 exons.